Molecule: ribosomal RNA, 114 nt
Filed under: Bifidobacterium breve
Lineage: Bacteria; Bacillati; Actinomycetota; Actinomycetes; Bifidobacteriales; Bifidobacteriaceae
Source: RNAcentral
GGCGGCCAUGGCCCAGGUGAGACGCCCGGUCCCAUUCCGAACCCGGAAGCUAAGGCCUGGCACGGCGAUGGUACUGCACCCGACAGGGUGUGGGAGAGUAGCACGCCGCCGCAU